GUGCCAGCAGCCGCGGUAAUUCCAGCGCCAAUAGCGUAUAUUAAAGUUGUUGUGGUUAAAAAGCUCGUAGUUGAACCUUGGGCCUGGCUGGCCGGUCCGCCUCACCGCGUGCACUGGUCCGGCCGGGCCCUUCCCUCUGUGGAACCCCAUACCCUUCACUGGGCGUGGCGGGGAAACAGGACAUUUACUUUGAAAAAAUUAGAGUGCUCCAGGCAGGCCUAUGCUCGAAUACAUUAGCAUGGAAUAAUAAAAUAGGACGCGCGGUUCUAUUUUGUUGGUUUAUAGGACCGCCGUAAUGAUUAAUAGGGACAGUCGGGGGCAUCAGUAUUCAACUGUCAGAGGUGAAAUUCUUGGAUCAGUUGAAGACUAACUACUGCGAAAGCAUUUGCCAAGGAUGUUUUCAUUAAUCAGGAACGAAAGUUAGGGGAUCGAAGACGAUCAGAUACCGUCGUAGUCUUAACCAUAAACUAUGCCGACUAGGGAUCGGACGGUGUUAUUCAUGACCCGUUCGGCACCUUACGAGAAAUCAAAGUGCUUGGGCUCCAGGGGGAGUAUGGUCGCAAGGCUGAAACUUAAAGAAAUUGACGGAAGGGCACCACCAGGGGUGGAGCCUGCGGCUUAAUUUGACUCAACACGGGGAAACUCACCAGGUCCAGACACAAUAAGGAUUGACAGAUUGAGAGCUCUUUCUUGAUUUUGUGGGUGGUGGUGCAUGGCCGUUCUUAGUUGGUGGGGUGACUUGUCUGCUUAAUUGCGAUAACGAACGAGACCUUAAACCUGCUAAAUAGCCCGCAUUGCUUCGGCAGUGGCGCUGGCCUUCUUAGAGGGA
This 829-nucleotide ribosomal RNA is filed under the name uncultured fungus. Its description in RNAcentral is "SSU rRNA". It matches the Rfam family "Eukaryotic small subunit ribosomal RNA", at positions 564 to 1419 of the family's 1831-position model. The record is from RNAcentral. Lineage: Eukaryota; Fungi.